Long non-coding RNA from Sarcophilus harrisii (Tasmanian devil), 540 nucleotides. RefSeq lists it as uncharacterized. Lineage: Eukaryota; Metazoa; Chordata; Mammalia; Dasyuromorphia; Dasyuridae. The record is from RefSeq and is a predicted model, not a curated record. The transcript has 3 exons.
AAGGAGCUUUGAUCAGCUGAAUCAACUCAUGUCCUCAAUGCCCAUCCUUGUGGAAUAUCCUCUACCUAGAGCUAAAAAGAUCUCUCUUUUGUUAACUAUUGAAUGACCUUUGAGUGUUUCAUUUUGUUCCUAUAUCAAACAUAAUCUAUCAGAAAACUGGAUUGAUCCAAGUCCAAACCAGACUAUCUUCAUUUAUGAAGGCAAAUCAGGGAAAGAGGGCUGUGCUUCCCUCUAUCUCAAGACUCACCAUAUUGAUAUUGGACUUAAACAUCAAUUGAAAUGACCCAUAGAAGAGCAGAACUGAACUCAAGAGUUCCAUUUGCCCUCAGCCCCCUCAGUAACUGAAACCACAGAAGUGAGCUAUCAUUCCCAGCAAUCACCUAAGAUUUUAAAGAUAUUUGGAGCAUGUCCUUUGAGGUAUGAUUAUGAAACUACACAUUGCCUUAGCCCACCAAGAGCACAUUUCAGAGCAGACCACUCCAGAGGACCUGACAUUUUCUACUAUUCCAAAUUCCAUCAUAGGCAUUCCAGAAUUCAACA